GGUCCCCGGGGAAGGCGGGGUCGCGCGCCCAGACUUCAAGCUCGGGGUGGAGGGGCGCGGGGGAGCUGAUGUCUGCGGUGGUGGCUCUCAAGGAAGACUCUGGAGGCACCCGCGCCGGGGCUGCUCGGGGGCCCGUCCCCACCUUAGCACUUGCCCUGCCGCAGCCAUCCGCGGCCUCCUGGGCGCCCCUGUCCCGUGCUCUCCCCUCCCGCAGGCCCGCCCCACCCGGGCAGGGGGCUGCUCCCUCGCUCCGGCCCCGAGCUCGCUCUGAUGCCCCGGGCCCCGCAGGAAGGCACAGGUUUCCAAGGCGGCCACCCCGCGUAAGGAGCCGAGGGGCCUGGGGGCGGCCCCGGCGGGGCCAGCUCGGUGGGCUCGGGGCGUCCGCAGUCCUAGGCGGCAGCCUCCCGGCCCAGACACCCAAUGGAAGCGCCGCAGGGCCAGCCGGUGGGCCGUGGGGCGCCCUCCGCCCCCUGAAAGGCGCCUUCCGACCCGGCGUCGCAAGCCUCGCGCGGCCCCGCCGGCCUCUCGGAGCGCGGCCUCCUCUCCCCGCGCGGACCGUUCCUCGCGGACCGCCCUCCGCGAGCCGCGCCCCGCGCCCGCCGUUGAUCCUCGCCCCGCCCGCCGUUGAUUCCCGCCAGCCGUUGAUCCCCGCCCGCCGUUGAUUCCCGCCAGCCGUUGAUCCCCGCCCGCCGUUGAUCCCCGCCCGGUGGCCGCACCUCUGCUCCGCCAUGUUCCCAGGCUGGCCCGCCGCGAGGGCGUGCUGCCACCCGCUCGGUGUUACAGCGCCGUCCCGCAGGCUCAGUGCCCGUCUGGGGGCUCCUUGUUGGCUCUGAAGAUGCUGGUGCUGGCUGCUCGAACCUCCAGGCUGUUCGUCAGUAAGGGUCGCCCAAGAACGAGGUUGACAAAGGCGGUGCUUGAUGAAGGCCAUCAGCUCAGUUCUCCACCUCACUGAUGUCCAGGAAGACAGAGGGAGAAAAGCUUUUAGACCUGUCAAGGAGGACUUCACCACCACAUCUGCCAGUUUUGGGCCCUCCCUGCAAAAGUCGCUGUGCCACUGCCACUGUCGUAGGGUGGAGCCUGAAUGAAGCUGAGAGGAUCCUGAGCCCCAGAUGAGUCCACAGCCCCAGCCAACACGGUGAUUUCAGCCUUCCAAGACCCUGAGCAGAGAGCUUAGCUCCGCUGCGCCUGGACUUCUGACCUGUGGAAUCUGUGAGACAAUAAAUAGAUGUUUUAAGCCACUAGGUUUGUGGUUGUCAUUUUUAUGUAGCAAUUGAAAACUAGUCUAUUCACAUAUCCAGUGCCUUUGGUAGACUCUGGAAAGGUUCCAGUUCAGCAAAUGUUACUAGAAAUAAGGCAGGAGGCUGGCAGAGAGGGCAGGGCUUGAACCAGACGCCUUGGAAACUGAACCACAGGGAGACUUGGAAGGAGUCCUUGGAGUGUCUGGAGGCAUGUUCCCUGGGGGGAGUCAAGAGGAGGGGUCUCUAUCCUCAGGUGUGAGCUGGGCCUGUGCGAGCCGGGCAUGAGACCUCAAGCUUUGGGUGUGACCAGAGUGUUUCUGCGUCGUUGGGUGAGAUGAAUUUUGCCUGAGAAAAGAGGCUGGUUCUCUCGCUGAUGAGUGAAGUUGUAUUAAUACUGUUUAGUGGGUGAUCCACACUUUCACCAUCGUGUGUACUUUUGCCGUGGCUUGGUUCCUGUGGGUCUUUACUCUGUGAAGGGCAUGGUGUGGAGCACAUACUGAGUUUGUUCACCUUGAAUCACAGACACUCGCACUUGGACACGUCCUUAGAUGGCGCCCAUCCUGACUCACAGCAUCUCUGGCAGGGGUCCUCCAGACUCUGCUCUCACCGGCCUGGUGAGGACAGCUGUGGCUUUGUGAGGCUGUCUCAUUCUUGGGCAUCUUGAGUGGUUUAGAACAGGGUUUCUAAAGCCAGGGUCCUUCAGAUAUGUGAACGUAAGUAUUAUCUCCUUCUAAUUAUUCCCCUUUUCUCCAUUUAAGCAUCUUUUCUUCCUUCAAUUAUUCUACAUCUGAAAAGAGUUGCAGAGCCCCUCCCCUCCCCUUGGACACCCUAUAAGAACUCUGCACAGCACAGUGGUGCUCUGGGCCCUGGAAACCACCAUUCUGCUCUCUGCUUCUAUGAAUUUGGUUCUCUUAGAUUCUACAUGUAAGUAACAUCACAGAGUAUUUGCCUUUCUGUGUCUGGAUUUCAUUUGGUACAAUGUUUUUCAGGUCCGUCCAUGUUGUUGCAAAUAGCAAGAUUUCUUUCUUUUUAAAGGCUGAGUAAUAUUCCACUAUACGUAUAUACCACAUUUUCUUCAUCCAUUCAUUUAACAUUUAGGUUAAAAGAUGGGCAAAGGACUUGCUAGACAUUUCUCCAAAGAAUGCGUACAGAUCGCUAACAGGUAUAUGAAAAUGUGAUCAACAUCACUAAUCAUCAGGGAAACAUAAAUCAAAACCAC
RNAcentral lists this long non-coding RNA (2457 nucleotides) under Equus caballus (horse). RNAcentral's name for it is "lncRNA (ENSECAG00000044281.1)". Lineage: Eukaryota; Metazoa; Chordata; Mammalia; Perissodactyla; Equidae. The record is from RNAcentral.